AGAGAGGAGAAAAGGGAAUCAAGGGAGAGAGAGGAGAAAAGGGGAAAGCGUGAUUGUUAUGUGGCUAGUGCUGCCACACUGUUGCAUGCGGUGACUGAUCAAUGGAGGCAGCUGGCUGCUGUGCGGUGACCAACUUUUGAUGAAACUUGGCACCGUGGAAAAGUCUAGGCACAAUUGUACUGUGCUUCAGGGAAUCUUGGCAAGCAGCAGUUUCACUUCGAUGCAAAAAUUCAAAAACUAAACUUUCAUGGUGUUAUGAGAACUGAUCGAGAACCGUUGCAGCUUAAGCUCGAAUUGAGUACAUGUAGUAAGCUAGCGUUUCUUGGC
Molecule: long non-coding RNA, 327 nt
Filed under: Setaria viridis
Lineage: Eukaryota; Viridiplantae; Streptophyta; Magnoliopsida; Poales; Poaceae
Description: long non-coding RNA (SVIR_LNC002978)
Source: RNAcentral